This 2737-nucleotide ribosomal RNA is filed under the name Salmonella enterica subsp. enterica serovar Weltevreden. RNAcentral describes it as "bacterial LSU rRNA". It matches the Rfam family "Bacterial large subunit ribosomal RNA". Lineage: Bacteria; Pseudomonadati; Pseudomonadota; Gammaproteobacteria; Enterobacterales; Enterobacteriaceae. The record is from RNAcentral.
AGCGUACACGGUGGAUGCCCUGGCAGUCAGAGGCGAUGAAGGGCGUGCUAAUCUGCGAUAAGCGCCGGUAAGGUGAUAUGAACCGUUAUAACCGGCGAUACCCGAAUGGGGAAACCCAGUGUGAUUCGUCACACUAUCAUUAACUGAAUCCAUAGGUUAAUGAGGCGAACCGGGGGAACUGAAACAUCUAAGUACCCCGAGGAAAAGAAAUCAACCGAGAUUCCCCCAGUAGCGGCGAGCGAACGGGGAGGAGCCCAGAGCCUGAAUCAGCAUGUGUGUUAGUGGAAGCGUCUGGAAAGGCGCGCGAUACAGGGUGACAGCCCCGUACACAAAAGCGCAUGUGCUGUGAGCUCGAUGAGUAGGGCGGGACACGUGGUAUCCUGUCUGAAUAUGGGGGGACCAUCCUCCAAGGCUAAAUACUCCUGACUGACCGAUAGUGAACCAGUACCGUGAGGGAAAGGCGAAAAGAACCCCGGCGAGGGGAGUGAAAAAGAACCUGAAACCGUGUACGUACAAGCAGUGGGAGCNGUGACUGCGUACCUUUUGUAUAAUGGGUCAGCGACUUAUAUUCUGUAGCAAGGUUAACCGAAUAGGGGAGCCGGAGGGAAACCGAGUCUUAAUUGGGCGUUAAGUUGCAGGGUAUAGACCCGAAACCCGGUGAUCUAGCCAUGGGCAGGUUGAAGGUUGGGUAACACUAACUGGAGGACCGAACCGACUAAUGUUGAAAAAUUAGCGGAUGACCUGUGGCUGGGGGUGAAAGGCCAAUCAAACCGGGAGAUAGCUGGUUCUCCCCGAAAGCUAUUUAGGUAGCGCCUCGUGAAUUCAUCUCCGGGGGUAGAGCACUGUUUCGGCUAGGGGGCCAUCCCGGCUUACCAACCCGAUGCAAACUGCGAAUACCGGAGAAUGUUAUCACGGGAGACACACGGCGGGUGCUAACGUCCGUCGUGAAGAGGGAAACAACCCAGACCGCCAGCUAAGGUCCCAAAGUCAUGGUUAAGUGGGAAACGAUGUGGGAAGGCCCAGACAGCCAGGAUGUUGGCUUAGAAGCAGCCAUCAUUUAAAGAAAGCGUAAUAGCUCACUGGUCGAGUCGGCCUGCGCGGAAGAUGUAACGGGGCUAAACCAUGCACCGAAGCUGCGGCAGCGACGCUUAUGCGUUGUUGGGUAGGGGAGCGUUCUGUAAGCCUGUGAAGGUGGCCUGUGAGGGUUGCUGGAGGUAUCAGAAGUGCGAAUGCUGACAUAAGUAACGAUAAAGCGGGUGAAAAGCCCGCUCGCCGGAAGACCAAGGGUUCCUGUCCAACGUUAAUCGGGGCAGGGUGAGUCGACCCCUAAGGCGAGGCCGAAAGGCGUAGUCGAUGGGAAACGGGUUAAUAUUCCCGUACUUGGUGUUACUGCGAAGGGGGGACGGAGAAGGCUAUGUUGGCCGGGCGACGGUUGUCCCGGUUUAAGCGUGUAGGUGUGUGUUCCAGGUAAAUCCGGUUCACUUUAACACUGAGGCGUGAUGACGAGGCACUACGGUGCUGAAGCAACAAAUGCCCUGCUUCCAGGAAAAGCCUCUAAGCAUCAGGUAACAUCAAAUCGUACCCCAAACCGACACAGGUGGUCAGGUAGAGAAUACCAAGGCGCUUGAGAGAACUCGGGUGAAGGAACUAGGCAAAAUGGUGCCGUAACUUCGGGAGAAGGCACGCUGACACGUAGGUGAAGUGAUUUACUCAUGGAGCUGAAGUCAGUCGAAGAUACCAGCUGGCUGCAACUGUUUAUUAAAAACACAGCACUGUGCAAACACGAAAGUGGACGUAUACGGUGUGACGCCUGCCCGGUGCCGGAAGGUUAAUUGAUGGGGUCAGCGCAAGCGAAGCUCCUGAUCGAAGCCCCGGUAAACGGCGGCCGUAACUAUAACGGUCCUAAGGUAGCGAAAUUCCUUGUCGGGUAAGUUCCGACCUGCACGAAUGGCGUAAUGAUGGCCAGGCUGUCUCCACCCGAGACUCAGUGAAAUUGAACUCGCUGUGAAGAUGCAGUGUACCCGCGGCAAGACGGAAAGACCCCGUGAACCUUUACUAUAGCUUGACACUGAACAUUGAGCCUUGAUGUGUAGGAUAGGUGGGAGGCUUUGAAGUGUGGACGCCAGUCUGCAUGGAGCCGACCUUGAAAUACCACCCUUUAAUGUUUGAUGUUCUAACGUGGACCCGUGAUCCGGGUUGCGGACAGUGUCUGGUGGGUAGUUUGACUGGGGCGGUCUCCUCCUAAAGAGUAACGGAGGAGCACGAAGGUUGGCUAAUCCUGGUCGGACAUCAGGAGGUUAGUGCAAUGGCAUAAGCCAGCUUGACUGCGAGCGUGACGGCGCGAGCAGGUGCGAAAGCAGGUCAUAGUGAUCCGGUGGUUCUGAAUGGAAGGGCCAUCGCUCAACGGAUAAAAGGUACUCCGGGGAUAACAGGCUGAUACCGCCCAAGAGUUCAUAUCGACGGCGGUGUUUGGCACCUCGAUGUCGGCUCAUCACAUCCUGGGGCUGAAGUAGGUCCCAAGGGUAUGGCUGUUCGCCAUUUAAAGUGGUACGCGAGCUGGGUUUAGAACGUCGUGAGACAGUUCGGUCCCUAUCUGCCGUGGGCGCUGGAGAACUGAGGGGGGCUGCUCCUAGUACGAGAGGACCGGAGUGGACGCAUCACUGGUGUUCGGGUUGUCAUGCCAAUGGCACUGCCCGGUAGCUAAAUGCGGAAGAGAUAAGUGCUGAAAGCAUCUAAG